Molecule: transfer RNA, 72 nt
Filed under: Bos taurus (domestic cattle)
Lineage: Eukaryota; Metazoa; Chordata; Mammalia; Artiodactyla; Bovidae
Also listed under: 5 other names
Rfam family: tRNA
About the family: Transfer RNA (tRNA) molecules are approximately 80 nucleotides in length. Their secondary structure includes four short double-helical elements and three loops (D, anti-codon, and T loops).
Source: Rfam by way of RNAcentral
UCCCUGAUGGCUCAGAUGGUAAAGCUUCUGCCUACAAUGCAGGAGACCCAGGUUCAAUCCCUGGAUUGGGAA